This 447-nucleotide ribosomal RNA is filed under the name uncultured bacterium. RNAcentral's name for it is "bacterial SSU rRNA". It matches the Rfam family "Bacterial small subunit ribosomal RNA", at positions 331 to 793 of the family's 1533-position model. The record is from RNAcentral.
CCAGACUCCUACGGGAGGCAGCAGUGGGGAAUAUUGGGCAAUGGGCGCAAGCCUGACCCAGCAACGCCGCGUGGAGGAAGAAGGCUUUCGGGUUGUAAACUUCUUUUGACAGGGAAGAGCAGAAGACGGUACCUGUCGAAUAAGCCACGGCUAACUACGUGCCAGCAGCCGCGGUAAUACGUAGGUGGCAAGCGUUGUCCGGAUUUACUGGGUGUAAAGGGCGUGUAGCCGGGCUUACAAGUCAGAUGUGAAGUCCGGGGGCUCAACCCCCGAACUGCAUUUGAAACUGUAGGUCUUGAGUAUCGGAGAGGCAGGCGGAAUUCCUAGUGUAGCGGUGAAAUGCGUAGAUAUUAGGAGGAACACCAGUGGCGAAGACGGCCUGCUGGACGACAACUGACGGUGAGGCGCGAAAGCGUGGGGAGCAAACAGGAUUAGAUACCCGCGUAC